Molecule: transfer RNA, 82 nt
Filed under: Echinostoma caproni
Lineage: Eukaryota; Metazoa; Platyhelminthes; Trematoda; Plagiorchiida; Echinostomatidae
Rfam family: tRNA
About the family: Transfer RNA (tRNA) molecules are approximately 80 nucleotides in length. Their secondary structure includes four short double-helical elements and three loops (D, anti-codon, and T loops).
Source: Rfam by way of RNAcentral
GGCCUCGUAGCUCAGUUGGUAGAGCAUGCGCGUACAAAGCGUAGGCGGCGUCCAUGCGUGAGUUCGAAUCUCACCGGGGCUA